Molecule: ribosomal RNA, 451 nt
Filed under: uncultured bacterium
Lineage: Bacteria
Description: bacterial SSU rRNA
Rfam family: Bacterial small subunit ribosomal RNA
Source: RNAcentral
AGGCAGCAGUAAGGAAUAUUGGUCAAUGGACGAAAGUCUGAACCAGCCAUGCCGCGUGAAGGAUGACGGCCCUCUGGGUUGUAAACUUCUUUUAUCUGGGACGAAAAAAGGGGAUUCUUCCUCACUUGACGGUACCAGAGGAAUAAGCACCGGCUAACUCCGUGCCAGCAGCCGCGGUAAUACGGAGGGUGCAAGCGUUAUCCGGAUUUACUGGGUUUAAAGGGUGCGUAGGUGGACAGGAAAGUCAGUGGUGAAAUCUUCGAGCUUAACUCGGAAACUGCCAUUGAUACUAUUUGUCUUGAAUACUUUGGAGGUAAGCGGAAUAUGUCAUGUAGCGGUGAAAUGCUUAGAUAUGACAUAGAACACCAAUUGCGAAGGCAGCUUACUACACAGUCAUUGACACUGAGGCACGAAAGCGUGGGGAUCAAACCAGGAUUAGAUACCCUGGUAG